UACAGAGACUGCAAGCGUUAUUCGGAUUCACUGGGCGUAAAGGGUGCGCAGGCGGUUUUGUAAGACCGAUGUGAAAUCCCCGGGCUCAACCUGGGAACUGCAUUGGUGACUGCAAGGCUUGAGUGUGUCAGAGGGAGGUGGAAUUCCGCGUGUAGCAGUGAAAUGCGUAGAUAUGCGGAGGAACACCGAUGGCGAAGGCAGCCUCCUGGGAUAACACUGACGCUCAUGCACGAAAGCGUGGGGAGCAAACAGG
This 253-nucleotide ribosomal RNA is filed under the name uncultured bacterium. RNAcentral describes it as "partial 16S ribosomal RNA". It matches the Rfam family "Bacterial small subunit ribosomal RNA", at positions 524 to 776 of the family's 1533-position model. The record is from RNAcentral.